Molecule: ribosomal RNA, 412 nt
Filed under: Verconia simplex
Lineage: Eukaryota; Metazoa; Mollusca; Gastropoda; Nudibranchia; Chromodorididae
Description: partial 16S ribosomal RNA
Rfam family: Archaeal large subunit ribosomal RNA
Source: RNAcentral
AUGGCCGCGGUACUUUGACCGUGCUAAGGUAGCGUAAUCAGUUGGCUCUUAAUUGGGGUCAGGAAUGAAUGGAGUCACGGGGCUUUACUGUCUUUUUGCUAAUAAUUUGAAGUUACUAUGUAAGUGAAAAAGCUUAUAUUUAGAAAAAGGACGAGAAGACCCUUAGAGUUUUAYUAAAUUAUAAAUUAUUAUUUAUAUCAGUUUGGUUGGGGCAACCUGGGAUGCAUAUUAUUUUUGAUAAUCUCUCUAAUGUAUACACACCGAUUAUAUUAAAUUUGUAUAAACUACCUUAGGGAUAACAGCAUAAUUUUAUAUUGAAGUUUGUGACCUCGAUGUUGGACUAGGAAACUGAAAGGCUAGCCGUCUUUUAGGAAAGUUCUGUUCGAACUAUUAUUCCUACAUGAUCUGAGUU